ACUAAAAUCCGGUUGGCUUUUUAGACCGUGAGGGUUCAAGUCCCUCUACCCCCA
Molecule: transfer RNA, 54 nt
Filed under: Syzygiella anomala
Lineage: Eukaryota; Viridiplantae; Streptophyta; Jungermanniopsida; Jungermanniales; Adelanthaceae
Description: partial tRNA-Leu
Source: RNAcentral